RNAcentral lists this long non-coding RNA (1432 nucleotides) under Homo sapiens (human). RNAcentral describes it as "novel transcript". The record is from RNAcentral. Lineage: Eukaryota; Metazoa; Chordata; Mammalia; Primates; Hominidae.
AGUAGAAACAGCUGAAAGUGAUCACAGGCUGGAGGUGUCAUGUAUGCAACGAGUACGGGCUUGGGAGUGGGAUUUUCCAAGAUUUCAGUCCUCGCUGCCGCAUCGCAACUGGAGACUGAGAUAUUAACCAAAUCAGCUUCCACACUCCACCAAGGCCCACAAGCCGCUGGAGCUGGAUGGCAUGCUUGACAGAGUUGUUGCUCCAGUCCCUUGGCACCAUCCAGACAUUGACCUAAGAAGAUAACCUUGGGGAAUCUGGAGGAUGUCAAUACAGCAUGGUCUGAUGAGAGCUGGGAAAGUCCGUCUUCCCAUCUCCUCCCCUUCUCAGGUUCAAGCCACUCCAGGGCUGACUCACAGAACCAACUUUCUCUCCAGUUGAUCCUUAUGACACAGGAACUUCUGAAGCCUGAAAAUGAUGCUGGAGGAACAAUCAAGCAAUGACUUGGACCUUGAGAUUUCAUCAUGUUUGAAGGCUCUCUGCUUGGUAAUAUUUAUGAGACCAUUAUUCACAGACAGACAACCUUCUUUUAGGUUUUAUUAGACAAUAUUAAGUCCAGAUAAGAGACCAACAGAGGAAUUUGAGAAUGAAAUCUGAAUUCUGAGAGUAUUAUUACUGUUUCUUGAGAAGGAAGAGGAGAAAGGAAGGAAACAUUCAUUGCCACAUGCUAUACCUUGUGCUCAGUCAUUUCACAAAGAUGUCCUUUAUCCUUGAACAAGAUCGGGUUCACAUUAUCAUCUUUGUACACGUGUGAACAGGGACAAGAAAUGUAUUUGUUUCCUUGUUUGAGAUGAUUACCAAUGGGUGCCAGAGGGGCCUAUAGGUGAUUUUAAUUAAAUUGCUUCAAAUUACUUCUCGUUCUUCAAGCAAGAAGACCACUGGAUUCUAUCCAGGUUUUAGCUACCCAGCUUGGGGUGGACUGAGGUUGACCAAAGGAUAAAAGCUGCAAAAUAUAGCAAACUCACCUAGUGACUUUCUCCUUAUAGGACUCAACUCUCCUCUAGAAACCACCUUCUUUUGUUUUCUCCUCACUAUCAUCCAACGAUCAUUUGUAUAUUUCUCCCAGAGUUUUUAGUGGUUGUCCAUGAGAAGAUGUGUCUGAAAGAAGCUACCUGACCACUACAAAAGUAGUUCCAAUUUGUUAGCAAUGUUUGAGGAAAUAUGGGUAAAGUUUCAUGACUGACUUGUAAAUUAAAGGCUGCACUUGGGCCAGGCGUGGUGGCUCAUGCCUAUAAUCCCAGCACUUUGGGAGGCCAAGGUGGACAGAUCACCUGAGGUCAGGAGUUCAAGACCAGCCUGGCCAACAUGGCGAAACCCCGUCUCUACUAAAAAUAAAAAAAUUAGCCAGGCGUGGUGGUGCACACCUGUAAUCCCAGCUACUCGGGAGGCUGAGGCAGGAGAAUUGCUCCAACCCAGGAGGCAGAGGUUGCAGUA